CUGGUGCCAGCAGCCGCGGUAAUUCCAGCUCCAAUAGCGUAUAUUAAAGUUGUUGCAGUUAAAAAGCUCGUAGUUGAAUUUCGGGGUUAGUAGGUUGGUCAUGCCUCUGGUAUGUACUGGCCUCACUGAUUCCUCCUUCCUGAUGAACCGUAAUGCCAUUAAUUUGGUGUUGCGGGGAAUUUGGACUGUUACUUUGAAAAAAUUAGAGUGUUUAAAGCAAGCUAACGCUUGAAUACAUUAGCAUGGAAUAAUGAAAUAGGACGUUCGAUCCUAUUUUGUUGGUUUCUAGGAUUGACGUAAUGAUUAAUAGGGAUAGUUGGGGGCAUUAGUAUUCAAUUGUCAGAGGUGAAAUUCUUGGAUUUAUUGAAGACUAACUACUGCGAAAGCAUUUGCCAAGGAUGUUUUCAUUAAUCAAGAACGAAAGUUAGGGGAUCGAAGACGAUCAGAUACCGUCGUAGUCUUAACCAUAAACUAUGCCGACUAGGGAUCGGAUGAUGUUAAUUUUUUAAUGACUCAUUCGGCGCCUUACG
RNAcentral lists this ribosomal RNA (530 nucleotides) under uncultured Glomus. RNAcentral describes it as "SSU rRNA". It matches the Rfam family "Eukaryotic small subunit ribosomal RNA", at positions 561 to 1092 of the family's 1831-position model. Lineage: Eukaryota; Fungi; Glomeromycota; Glomeromycetes; Glomerales; Glomeraceae. The record is from RNAcentral.